RNAcentral lists this ribosomal RNA (525 nucleotides) under uncultured bacterium. RNAcentral's name for it is "bacterial SSU rRNA". It matches the Rfam family "Bacterial small subunit ribosomal RNA", at positions 777 to 1301 of the family's 1533-position model. The record is from RNAcentral.
AAUAGAUACCCUGGUAGUCCACGCCGUAAACGAUGAGUGCUAAGUGUUAGGGGGUUUCCGCCCCUUAGUGCUGCAGCUAACGCAUUAAGCACUCCGCCUGGGGAGUACGGUCGCAAGACUGAAACUCAAAGGAAUUGACGGGGGCCCGCACAAGCGGUGGAGCAUGUGGUUUAAUUCGAAGCAACGCGAAGAACCUUACCAGGUCUUGACAUCCUCUGACAAUCCUAGAGAUAGGACGUCCCCUUCGGGGGCAGAGUGACAGGUGGUGCAUGGUUGUCGUCAGCUCGUGUCGUGAGAUGUUGGGUUAAGUCCCGCAACGAGCGCAACCCUUGAUCUUAGUUGCCAGCAUUCAGUUGGGCACUCUAAGGUGACUGCCGGUGACAAACCGGAGGAAGGUGGGGAUGACGUCAAAUCAUCAUGCCCCUUAUGACCUGGGCUACACACGUGCUACAAUGGACAGAACAAAGGGCAGCGAAACCGCGAGGUUAAGCCAAUCCCACAAAAUCUGUUCUCAGUUCGGAUCGC